RNAcentral lists this ribosomal RNA (460 nucleotides) under uncultured Porphyromonas sp. RNAcentral's name for it is "bacterial SSU rRNA". It matches the Rfam family "Bacterial small subunit ribosomal RNA", at positions 338 to 795 of the family's 1533-position model. The record is from RNAcentral. Lineage: Bacteria; Pseudomonadati; Bacteroidota; Bacteroidia; Bacteroidales; Porphyromonadaceae.
CCUACGGGGGGCAGCAGUGAGGAAUAUUGGUCAAUGGGCGAGAGCCUGAACCAGCCAAGUCGCGUGAAGGAUGACUGUCUUAUGGAUUGUAAACUUCUUUUGUAGGGGAAUAAAGAGGGGCACGUGUGCCUCAGUGAAUGUACCCUACGAAUAAGCAUCGGCUAACUCCGUGCCAGCAGCCGCGGUAAUACGGAGGAUGCGAGCGUUAUCCGGAUUUAUUGGGUUUAAAGGGUGCGUAGGCGGCCUGUUAAGUCAGCGGUGAAAUCUAGGAGCUUAACUCCUAAAUUGCCAUUGAUACUGGCGGGCUUGAGUGUAGAUGAGGUAGGCGGAAUGCGUGGUGUAGCGGUGGAAUGCAUAGAUAUCACGCAGAACUCCGAUUGCGAAGGCAGCUUACUAAGGUACAACUGACGCUGAAGCACGAAAGCGUGGGUAUCAAACAGGAUUAGAUACCCCGGUAGUC